This 834-nucleotide ribosomal RNA is filed under the name uncultured bacterium. RNAcentral describes it as "bacterial SSU rRNA". It matches the Rfam family "Bacterial small subunit ribosomal RNA", at positions 60 to 907 of the family's 1533-position model. The record is from RNAcentral.
AGUCGAACGAGAGAGAAGGAGCUUGCUUCUUCGAUUGAGUGGCGAACGGGUGAGUAACGCGUGAGGAACCUGCCUCAAAGAGGGGGACAACAGUUGGAAACGACUGCUAAUACCGCAUAAGCCCACGGGUCGGCAUCGACCUGAGGGAAAAGGAGCAAUCCGCUUUGAGAUGGCCUCGCGUCCGAUUAGCUAGUUGGUGAGGUAACGGCCCACCAAGGCGACGAUCGGUAGCCGGACUGAGAGGUUGAACGGCCACAUUGGGACUGAGACACGGCCCAGACUCCUACGGGAGGCAGCAGUGGGGAAUAUUGCACAAUGGGGGAAACCCUGAUGCAGCGACGCCGCGUGGAGGAAGAAGGUCUUCGGAUUGUAAACUCCUGUUGUUGAGGAAGAUAAUGACGGUACUCAACAAGGAAGUGACGGCUAACUACGUGCCAGCAGCCGCGGUAAAACGUAGGUCACAAGCGUUGUCCGGAAUUACUGGGUGUAAAGGGAGCGCAGGCGGGAAGACAAGUUGGAAGUGAAAUCUAUGGGCUCAACCCAUAAACUGCUUUCAAAACUGUUUUUCUUGAGUAGUGCAGAGGUAGGCGGAAUUCCCGGUGUAGCGGUGGAAUGCGUAGAUAUCGGGAGGAACACCAGUGGCGAAGGCGGCCUACUGGGCACCAACUGACGCCGAGGCUCGAAAGUGUGGGUAGCAAACAGGAUUAGAUACCCUGGUAGUCCACACCGUAAACGAUGAUUACUAGGUGUUGGAGGAUUGACCCCUUCAGUGCCGCAGUUAACACAAUAAGUAAUCCACCUGGGGAGUACGACCGCAAGGUUGAAACUCAAAGG